GUUUACCGUAGCUUACAUACCAAAGCA
RNAcentral lists this transfer RNA (27 nucleotides) under Berenicornis comatus. Its description in RNAcentral is "partial tRNA-Phe". Lineage: Eukaryota; Metazoa; Chordata; Aves; Bucerotiformes; Bucerotidae. The record is from RNAcentral.